GAGCCAAGAGGCACAUUGCAGCUGGAGCAGAAGAUUGAAGACUCAGCAAAGGUGAGGAGUUGCAGUGUCGACAAAGGCUUCGACAAGGACGUCGAAGGAAUAAGUGGGGGAGAAUGUCACGGACAAACUUCUAAACAGGAUGUUUGAUGUAAUGCUUAUGUAUGUCCGUGUCUUUUGGUGUGUUCAUACUUUGUACAACAUGUAGAGGGACGACCGAAGGCUUAAUAGUCUCAUUUUAGUUAGGUUGGUGGCCGCUUUAGGCUUGUAAAUAAAGGUUG
This 278-nucleotide long non-coding RNA is filed under the name Musa acuminata (dwarf banana). Its description in RNAcentral is "long non-coding RNA (MACU_LNC002736)". Lineage: Eukaryota; Viridiplantae; Streptophyta; Magnoliopsida; Zingiberales; Musaceae. The record is from RNAcentral.